UUUAGAGGAAGGAGAAGUUGUAACAAGGUUUCCGUAGGUGAACCUGCGGAAGGAUCAUUGUCGAAACCUGCAAGGCAGACCAGCGAACUCGUUUCUCACAACAUGUACAUGGGGGCGACGGCGUCCCGAAGCAGGCCACGCUUGCCUCGUGUCGUUGGCGCCCCCGUUCCGCCGCAAGGGUGCUCGCACCCGUUGCGCGGCCUAACCAACCCCGGCGCGGAAAGCGUCAAGGAACACGAAAACAUUGCCUCCCCGUCGGUGCCCCGCUCGCGGUGCGCACCAUUGGGGAACGGGCGUGUGUCCAAAUCUAAAACGACUCUCGGCAACGGAUAUCUCGGCUCUCGCAUCGAUGAAGAACGCAGCAAAAUGCGAUACUUGGUGUGAAUUGCAGAAUCCCGUGAACCAUCGAGUUUUUGAACGCAAGUUGCGCCCGAAGCAUUCGUGCUGAGGGCACGUCUGCCUGGGCGUCACGCAUCACGUCGCCCUUCGCCAGCGGCCCCUCGGGGAUCCGUCGGCGUUGGGUUGGAAGUUGGCCUCCCGUGCGCCCGACCGCGCGGCUGGCCCAAAUUGGAUCCGGCACUGGCGCGUGCCUCGACAAUUGGUGGUUGAACUACUCAACUUGCGUGUUGUCGGGCUCCAGCGCGCCACUAGCUUUCCGGAUGCGUUGGCCCUCACGGUGCAUUGCACCCUCGACUGCGACCCCAGGUCAGGCGGGACUACCCGCUGAGUUUAA
Molecule: unclassified non-coding RNA, 733 nt
Filed under: Jasminum albicalyx
Lineage: Eukaryota; Viridiplantae; Streptophyta; Magnoliopsida; Lamiales; Oleaceae
Description: partial contains small subunit ribosomal RNA, internal transcribed spacer 1, 5.8S ribosomal RNA, internal transcribed spacer 2, and large subunit ribosomal RNA
Rfam family: 5.8S ribosomal RNA (bases 315-470)
Source: RNAcentral